This 444-nucleotide ribosomal RNA is filed under the name uncultured bacterium. RNAcentral's name for it is "bacterial SSU rRNA". It matches the Rfam family "Bacterial small subunit ribosomal RNA", at positions 56 to 474 of the family's 1533-position model. The record is from RNAcentral.
CUCAAGUCGCACGAGAAAUCCUGAGCAAUCGGGAGAGUAAAGUGGCGCACGGGUGAGUAACGCGUGGGUAAUCUGCCCUGGAGUUAGGAAUAACAUCUCGAAAGGGGUGCUAAUACCUGGUAAGAUCCCUAAGACCCCGGUCUUGGAGAUUAAAGAGGGCUGAGGCUUGCAAGCCAUUGCUCCGGGAUGAGCCCGCGUACCAUUAGCUAGUUGGCGGGGUAAUGGCCCACCAAGGCAAUGAUGGUUAGCUGGUCUGAGAGGAUGGCCAGCCACACUGGAACUGAGAAACGGUCCAGACUCCUACGGGAGGCAGCAGUGAGGAAUCUUGCGCAAUGGGGGAAACCCUGACGCAGCAACGCCGCGUGAGUGAUGAAGGCCUUCGGGUCGUAAAGCUCUGUCAGAUGGGAAGAAGGUUCCAGCGCUUAAUAAGCGCUGGAAUUGACG